GACAUGAGUGGUGAGCGUUAUUCGUAUUAAUUGCGUGUAUAGGGUGCGUAGGCGGUAAAAUAAUUUAUAUAUCACAAAAACAGCAAUUUGUGCAUUUAUAUAAAACAUUUUACUAGAAUUUUUUAGAAGUUGACAAAAUCUGUAAAUAAGUGAUUGAAUAUGUCGACUUUUCAGGGAUUUCCAUAGGCGAAAGCAGUUUACUAUAAAAAAUUGACGUUGAGGCACGAAAGUAUAGUUAUCGACUAGGAUUAGUAACCCUAUUAGUCUAUACCAUCAAAUAUGAGUAUUAAAUUGUUGUUAUUUAUUAGCAGCAGUUUUCAUUAACGUGAAAUACUCCACCUGGGUAGUAUAGUUGCAAGAUCGAAACUUAACAAAAUUGGCGGGAAUUUGUUCAAACGGUGGAACAUGUGGUUUAAUGCGAUGAUCCGCGAAAAAUCUUACCAAUGCAUCUUUUACAUAAAUAUAUCUUAGAUACUAAUAUUAUCGAAGGGUAGUUAAUUAUUAAUUUAAAAAAUAAUGUUAUGUUUAAAAGACUAGGUGUUGCAUGGCUGUCGUCAGCUCGUGUUGUGAGACGUAGAAUUAACUUUUCUAACGGGCGCAACUCUCUAAAUUAGUUCUAAUUUUUUAUAAAAAUAUUUUAUUUUUUUUAAAAAAUUUUCUAAUUGACAAGACUAUUCGUGAAGUUAAUUAUUUUUAAUGGAUCGGUGGUUAGGAGGAUAUGAGACCGAAGUCAAGUCCUUAUGACCCGUAUGUGUUGGGCUACACACGUGUUACAAUGGUGGAGACAAUGGGUAACUAAGAAGAAAUUCUUUGUAAAUCUCUAAAAUCUACCCCAGUUCUAAUUAUUCCUUGAAAUUCAGGAGUAUGAAGUUGGAAUCGUUAGUAAUCGUAAAUUAGAACGUUACGG
RNAcentral lists this ribosomal RNA (907 nucleotides) under Prorodon ovum. Its description in RNAcentral is "SSU rRNA". It matches the Rfam family "Bacterial small subunit ribosomal RNA", at positions 524 to 1362 of the family's 1533-position model. Lineage: Eukaryota; Ciliophora; Prostomatea; Prorodontida; Prorodontidae. The record is from RNAcentral.